UACAGAGGGUGCUAGCGUUGUUCGGAAUUACUGGGCGUAAAGGGCGCGUAGGCGGUCUGUUAAGUUCGGUGUGAAAUCCCCUGGCUCAACUGGGGAACUGCGCUGGAAACUGGCAGACUCGAGUACCGGAGAGGAGAGUGGAAUUCCUGGUGUAGCGGUGAAAUGCGUAGAUAUCAGGAGGAACACCGGUGGCGAAGGCGGCUCUCUGGACGGAUACUGACGCUGAGGCGCGAAAGCGUGGGGAUCAAACAGG
This 253-nucleotide ribosomal RNA is filed under the name uncultured bacterium. Its description in RNAcentral is "partial 16S ribosomal RNA". It matches the Rfam family "Bacterial small subunit ribosomal RNA", at positions 524 to 776 of the family's 1533-position model. The record is from RNAcentral.